Molecule: long non-coding RNA, 622 nt
Filed under: Eucalyptus grandis
Lineage: Eukaryota; Viridiplantae; Streptophyta; Magnoliopsida; Myrtales; Myrtaceae
Description: long non-coding RNA (EGRA_LNC006483)
Source: RNAcentral
AUGGGUGCUUUUUGAAAUUCCACGUUGAGCUGAAGAUAGAUGUGAUUGCUGUGUUGGCAAUGUUGGGUUGUUUGGAGAGGUUACGGUCAGCCCGCGACGGUAAGGGGGCGAAUGGUUGGAUCCGUUGAUUAGUAUGGCCUGAUUUUUGACAUCCAGUGGUGGUGACUCGCGUCGCUAAUACGGUGCGAUUUAGGUUGCAGCAAUAGUUACCCGACCGCCGGCUAGAAGAAACAGGGGGAACAAGAUCAUGCCGUCAUGCCGUCUCCGGUGGCACAAUAUGCGCUCGACAGGGGAUUCUCCCCCGAACUUAUUCUCAUGCCAGAACGAGCAGGAGAGGUAAUGUAGAUCUAGUGCCUUUUUCUCUAUCUCUGUCGUUUUUCUUUUUUAUGGUCUCAGUGAUUUUGAAUUUAUUCGCUGCAUCGAGCAGAAGUAUUCUAGUUCGUUGAGCUAGAUUGGAGCUUGGACUUCUCAUGCCAAUUUGCUGGGUUGAUUUCCUUUGGUUAUCAUUCCAAUCAUUAUCAAUUCCUUUUAACAUUUAAUUCUCUGAUGGAAAGAGACAUUUCUUUACAAAUUGCUUUUAGAAAUUUAAUCUGAUGCAGGAGCUUUCCAUAUUUGAUCGUCC